Lytechinus pictus (painted urchin) is the source of this 2283-nucleotide long non-coding RNA. RefSeq lists it as uncharacterized. The record is from RefSeq and is a predicted model, not a curated record. The transcript has 3 exons. NCBI's taxonomy places the organism in Eukaryota, Metazoa, Echinodermata, Echinoidea, Temnopleuroida, Toxopneustidae.
CAGGAGAAACCUCCCUCAUAAUGCUCACUGCUUGACCAGGAGUAACCCGUCUCUCCAUCCCAUCCCGUCAGCAUCAAGAGUGCAACCGAAACAUCAAUGAGCGGUGAUGUUAUCCCCUUGGCAACGAGAUGCUAUCCCUGCAUCCUGAGUGAUAUGAGGAGAGCAGCCUGAUGGCUCAGGGGGAAGAUGAUAAGGAGCUACUUCAUGCUAUCUAUAAGCUCACAGAGUUGACCAUCGGAACAUCUCAUUUGAAAGACUGCAUCAACUGGGUGCACCUGAGCUCAUCAUUGUUUGGUGUGAUGUUAUCACCAUAGCAACAAGAUGCUGUCUGUACAUUCAGGAGGACAGGAGGAUGGUUUAAGGAGGAUAGGAGCAAGAGAACUCGCCGCUGCCGCCACCGCCGAGAUGCGUGAAAUUCUAGAAAGAUGAAACUUGGGGCAGAUGCUUCUUCUUGUCACAUCAUCACGCACCAUACCAAGCUGGAGGGGAAACUUCUCGCCUCUCUCGCUCUCCUUGGGAUCUCUGCCUUUACCCCCUCCUCCUCCCCGCUCCCCAUCUUCAAGAUUCCCCAAGAGGACCGGUGGAGAUGAGGGAUGCGGUGUUACGAUGAUGGAGUUACAGCAUCCGGUAAACUCCUUCUGAUUAGUCACCCAACGGUAGGCGGCCUCCCGAGAUAGUUAAAGAUUAAUUCCCAAGCGAUGGACUUUGAUUGUUUUCUUUAAUCUUUGGGAUAGUUUAGCAGCAUUAUUGGAUUUCUGGGUCGACUCCGUAGGUAUCUGUUAUAUUCCAUUACCAUAAUGUGUUCAUUCCUGGGGGAAAAUUUGAUUUUGUGGGUAAAAUCCUUGUAAAAAAAUUGUCUGGAUUAUAUAUUUUUGAGAAAUGAAGAUACAAUUGGAUAAUCCAUCCCACCAAAAUAAAAGGGAUGAUAUUCAAUGAUAUUAUGGUACAAUAAUACAAUGUUUACUUAAAAUUAUGUUGGCUUGACUUAUUUACAUGUAGAUCAUGUAGAUAGAAGGUUGCAUGUACUUUGGAACAGUAGUUUAGUGAGCCCAAAAUUUUGAGGGGGCCAGACAAGUUGUAUGGGGCAACAUUUCGCCCAAACUGCAAGUGAGUGAAACGAGUUAGCAAUUUUAAAAAUCUUUUUUAAUACAAAAAUCACACUCUAAAAAAGAUUGAGUGAAAAAUUAUCCAAUAUUGGGUAGAAAGGGAACAAGCAUUUUUGUUGUAUAAUUUUUCCUUCAUAUUGAGCAAAAUGCAAGUUUAAAGGGUAAAAUUUACAAAGUAAUUGGUAUCAUUUUACCCAGCAAAGAUACAUGUUCCCAUUUUACCCAAUAUUGGGUAAACAUAUUUUAGAGUGCAGCAUGAUUUUGACAGAAUAUCUAGAAAAAAUAAUUUCCUUUUCUUUAUUUUUUUAUCCCUUUUUUCUUGGUUGUGACCCCCCCCCCCCCCUUCCCCAAUCUAAAUCAAGGAUCCAUGGUUUCGGCUAGCUAAAUUACCUUCGUAACAUUUUUGAUGCAAUGGGAAAGGAGUGUGAAUAAUUAUGUAUUAUGAGGAAUAUAAUUGUUUGCAGCACUGUUACUUGUAGUUUUUCAUUCAUAGCAUCACUUGAUGGAGUAUAGAUGACCAAAGCAUUCUGAAUUAUGAUCAAAAUAUGAUUUCUUGAACUCUGUUCUCAAUCAUCUUAAAUCAACUCCCACUUGAAACGUCAAAUGAAGACCAGUGGUAGAAUCUGGGGGCUUAAUGCUGAUAGAUUUAUGUAGGAAUAGACAACUUUAUUUUUAUACUUAGUGAAACAAUGCAGCAUGCAGUGAUUUACAAUGGAUAUGAUUGAAACAGUACACCAAUUCAUUUGGAAACAGUCCAGUAUUUCAUCAAAGAGGGGGCACAGAACUUUGGGAUAUUUUCUGAAUGUUUUGACAAGCCCAAAAAUAUUUUAUUAAAAAAAGAGAGUUUUGCUCCCUCCCCCUCGCAUUUUCAAUGAAUUACCCAGAAGGACUAUAACAUUGGUAUAUGAUUUUAGACAGAGACUGCAAAAAAAUUGUAACCAUUUAUAAUUUUCUGAAUUAUUUCAUUGUCAUUGUGAUCAAGAUAUUCUUGAUGUCUGCGAAUUAGGGGUUUAUAUUUAUUAUGUUGAUGAAUUAUCAGCAGCAUUUUCUAAAAUAAGUCUCAAAUGGUGAUGUUUAUUUGAAACUCUCAUUAAUAAUAUAUUGUUAUUGUUACUAUUUCUUGUGCGAUAUGUACCUCCAGAAUUAAAAUCCAGACAUACAAUUACCAAGCUUCAAA